Molecule: ribosomal RNA, 225 nt
Filed under: uncultured bacterium
Lineage: Bacteria
Description: partial 16S ribosomal RNA
Rfam family: Bacterial small subunit ribosomal RNA
Source: RNAcentral
CGCGUAGGUAACCUGCCUUGUAGCGGGGGAUAACUAUUGGAAACGAUAGCUAAUACCGCAUAACAAUGGAUGACACAUGUCAUUUAUUUGAAAGGGGCAAUUGCUCCACUACGAGAUGGACCUGCGUUGUAUUAGCUAGUAGGUGAGGUAACGGCUCACCUAGGCGACGAUACAUAGCCGACCUGAGAGGGUGAUCGGCCACACUGGGACUGAGACACGGCCCAG